AAAAAUCUGGGCUUUGGUGGUCUCAGACAACUUGUCUCCAAUCUCCCUCCAUCUGAGUUUUGUUUUUGAAAUUUUUCUAUGUUAGAAAGAUUUUUAGUGAUGAAACUCUAUCAUAUAUCCAACACUUCCCCCUAAAAGUCAUUUGUUUCCGUUUCUGCAUAAUUCCAGUUGCACACAAAGUGCAUGCUUCCAUCAAGUGAUUGUAGGAAAGAAAAAAGCAUUUGUUCACAAACUAUUUUCUUUCAUUUUUGGAUGGAUAUAGUGUAUAUAUAUAUAUAUAUAUGUGACAACGAGUAACUAGCUUUUUUGGAGUAUCUUGUUCAAAUUUUUGAAAUAUGGAGUUUUUUUGUAUACUACUAUAUAUUUUAUUUGACUGUAUGUUUUAAUAAAUAAAC
RNAcentral lists this long non-coding RNA (395 nucleotides) under Arabidopsis lyrata. Its description in RNAcentral is "long non-coding RNA (ALYR_LNC001565)". The record is from RNAcentral. Lineage: Eukaryota; Viridiplantae; Streptophyta; Magnoliopsida; Brassicales; Brassicaceae.